Non-coding RNA from Acanthosepion pharaonis, 95 nucleotides. NCBI's taxonomy places the organism in Eukaryota, Metazoa, Mollusca, Cephalopoda, Sepiida, Sepiidae. The record is from the annotation of a GenBank genome assembly.
AAACAUCAGUUCCCAUUUGAUCACCAAAGUUAAGCAACAUUGAGCCUGAUCAAUACCUAAAUGAGUGACUGCUUGGUAAUAAUAGGUGCUGUAAG